GACUUCACAUCCUUUGACAUCAGCACAGCUCCAGGAGGGGGAUGGGAGAGCAGGCAGAAAGCAGAAAAACCAGCUCUGAACUAUGCAUGCAAGGCCUCUUUCAAGCCUCAAAUUCUAAAGGUUGCUGCAGAAAGCCAGUCCAAGGAGAAGGACAUCAGAUCUGGAGUACGGGAAAAUGUGGACAGAGGACUCCCCCCAAAAGGGAACACCAGCCCCAGCUCCAGAGAGAGAGAAGAAAGCCUCUCGGCAGAACUGAAAGUGGUUCCCCGUCUGACGUUUUCCUGAAUGGUGGCUCCUCUUCUGUUGUUUCUCACCUCUGCCCCACCUGUCCGGUGUGUAUGCUAACACCACAAAGGCCACGGCUGCCCCAAGCCCCACUGGUGAAAAUACCGACUGGCUGCGUGGACACUGCCCCUGCAGGCCCGGCCCUCACACAGCUUGGGAGUGGGUGAGCCCCACUCAGCCGUGUCAAUGGCCAUUACCAUGGAUGGUCCCGCCCAGGAGCGCAGGACUCCAGGCCAGCAGCCCACAGUGUCUCCAAAGCCUGCAGGAGUGCACCUGACCACGUCCUCCCAACCCAGGUGCGCUGUGGGUCUCCCUCCUGUCCAGGUGGUGCUGCUGCCACCUAAGUAAGAGAUGAGCCUGUGCAUUACCCCGGUGAUACCAAUUUAGACUGUGCCUGCCUGACCCUUGGCUACUGUCUGUCAGCAAAGGCCAGACUCCGGGCCCCAGCCAGGGCCACCAAGCCAUGCUGAGGAUAAUGCUGGCUCUCACUUCCACUCACCAUCACCUGCCCAUGCGGGAGUGAUGCAGGUGAACAGACUCCGUCAGGGCCACAUUGCUUGGGCUGGCAUGGUCUGUGCUGUACAGAGGACCUGCCUGCAAUCACUGAAUAUUUCAUGGGCAGCCAGAUGGGAGAGGUGCCUGCACUCGGGCUGUGCUGAUGAGCUGAAAUACAGCAGUGAGGAGAGACUCCUAGGGCUUUAUGUAAAAUACAGAUUGAAGGCAAAGGAACAGUGAAGUCACUUUUGAUGUAUUUUUCCUAAUGAUCUCAGAUCAAAGGAUCUCAACUUUAUUAGUGAUUUCCCCCAUGCUCUCCCCAAACCCUAUGCAUGUAAAGUAGUUCUUCAGAGAACUAUUAAGACUGAUCGGAGAUCACUGAUAAAACAUAUGCUAAAAUUAGAAUAAGAGAAAGGAAAAGACAACUAACCAGAGGGUAUAUUUUUCAACUGGAAACAAAUAUCCUGUAAACUUACUGUUAUUUUUUUCCUGAAAUAAUUUACGUUUAAAGUAUUUCCUAUCAAAAUCCAGGUAGCCUUCUUAUUUUUCUAGGUAUUGACAAAAUCUUCUAAAUUUUGCCUGGGAAAAUAAAGAACAAAAAUGAGAACACUUCCAAUGAGGAAGGAUAAUGCUGCCAAGCACAUAACUCCAUGAACAGAUGACAGUGCCAGGGCGGAAGAGGCAGAGCGAGGGCUGGGAAGCAACAGCCUGACCAGGACGCACUUCCACGCGGAUAUGGGGGGCUGUAAGUGGGGUCCUAAUCAGAGCAAACGCGGAAAGAGUGGACAGUGGGCCGGCUCUCCUGGAACAGGCAACUCUUACUAAUGGAAAAAAAUCACUGGGAUUCUGAACACAGUGACUCUGCAGAUCACCUGGGUGGUGCUGACAUCUAACAACAUGGUCUUCCAGGCUAUGAAUGCAGACUGGUGUCUUUCUUAAUUUCUCUCAGGAACAGUUUGUAGUUUCCAGUGUACAUGCCUUUCAACUUCUUGCCCAGGCAACCCGCAAGGCUGGACAUGACUGUCCGCCUGGAGAGGCCAGGGAAGAAGAAGACCUGCUGCUGCACAGGGCAGCAGAUUCUACUGGGACACAGCUGGAAGCAACAGGGCAAAAAAAUGCCAAAUUAAGGGGCUGAUUCAGAAAAAUCUUCCAAUGAACAGGUCUGAAGACCACAUGCAACCUGUUCUAUAAAUAUGAAGUACUGCACUGCUUUCCACUUGGCAGAUGACUACAGCUUUUCAAUGGCCAGGACUAGAAGGGUGCAUUGGGGUGGAUAUGUCCCCACGCAGGAAAAUGUGCACUGCUUCCCUGGAAGGCAUGCAUAUCGGAUCUAGAAAGAUUUCUUGAAAGCUUCCACUCUGAUCCAUUUCUUGUUCUUGAACCUGACUUGAGGGAAGGUGCAAAGAUGUGAACAAUGACAGCUGAGCACCGUGUGUAAUGGCUGACAUCCAGGCACCCGCAGCACCAAAGAAGAACCAGUAAUCCACGCUCUCAGUUCCUAAGGUCAGGAGCAAGACCAGUGUGCGAGCUCUCACCUCAACUAUGUAACACUUCCCAGGGGACUCCGGAGAGACACAGGAGAGCCAAAAGAGUGAGAAGCAAAGGUGAAACUGUGCACUCCUGCUGUUCCAGCUCCGAGGAAGGCCGAGACAGGAGGAUCACGAGACUGAGUGUGUCUGGCUGCGGAAGUAGAGUACCCUUGGGCUUAAUCCCCAAUGCCAUAAAAUUGUGGAGUCAUUUUUAUGUACAGAUGACUCAAUUAGAUGCCCAAAAGAACGUUACUGGAAACAAUAAGAAAAUUUAUCAAAAGCACAUGAUAUGAAAGCGAGAGUCAAAAAUCAAUAGCUUUCACAGAAACAACAAUUAUUUAGAAAACACACAGCAGGGAAGAUCCCAUUAAAAUAGCACCACUAAUGGGUCAUUCAGGGAUUCACUUCAUAAGAAAUGAGUGAAGACCACAUGCAGGAAACUGAAAAACACUCCUAAAGGAUACAAACAGGGAUCCUGGAAAACAAAGACGCACAUACUCCUAAGAAAGACAAUGCAAACAUCAGAAGAUGCCCACCCUUGGCUAUGUUAAAAUCUAAUAGGAUCCCAAUUAAAAUGCCAACAGUUCACUGUGCCACACGUCAAGCCAACUGACUGUGCCGCCUGCUUGUAACGCUGUCAGUGCUGCUGUCUGUCAGGAGCCGUUUCAGUAGGGUGAAUAUACAGACACAUACACACUGGUGCCGGGAGGCACCAUUUUCACUGCAGGACAGACAGACAACUAUGAAAACCCAUGAAACAGGUGAAGACACUAACUUUAAAGAUGAAUUGCAUGCAUCAAUAGGAAUGCAUGAUGCAAGCAGCUCUGGGUUCCAACUUUCUUCAUGGAAAGCACUUGAAAGUAAAGUCCAGUGUUGGGAGCCGCCGACACCGGUCGCCUUACUUGGCGGACGUAGGGCCUGUGGGUGGGAGCGGAGCCUGAGCUAGAUUGCCCCUCCCAUCGAGUGAGUCAAGUUGGCGCCUGCUUCUUGCCCCCUGAUUGCGCUGGCGACUUAAACAACCCGCUCUGUAAGAUAGUCUGCCUAGCAACAGCUGAUGUUAGCCAAUCAGCCCGCAUCGCGCGCUUUGAACUGAUUGGCCACUGUUACCCUAUAAAAGUAAAUGCCUCUCCCGCCACGAGGGAGAAGCACAGAGAAAAACCACAGAGAGAGAUAGAGAAAGUCCACCGGCGAGAAAGGGCUGGUGGCAGAGAGGAGGCCUCGCGGGGCCCACGCGGAGAUAAAUAAAGGCAAGAUUGCACACCGCCAGACUUUGUCGUGUGUCUUUUCUGCCGGCCGGGAGCGACCUCGACAUUUGGUGACCCGCACGGGGACUGAUCAACCCCGAGACACGGCGGUGGUGUGCAACGCUCCAGCGUGGUGCUGCCGGACAGGUGAGUUGGGGAUAAGCCUGGGCUCUGGGUGGCGCGCACCUACAGGGCUUUUAGACUCCCCUCAGGCUCACGCGUAGGUGACGGGUUCUUUAAGUCACACGCGGUGAGUUACAGCCCUUAGAGGUUGAGGAUGGAUAAUUUACCGAGCGCGGAGGCGCGACCCUUGGUAAAGGCCCUUAAAAAGCUUUUAAAAGCUAGAGACCUCAGGGUAGGUCAAAAAACACUAAAACUAUUCAUACCAGAGAUAGAUAGGGUGGCUCCCUGGUUUUUACCCACGGGGCAUUUAAACCUGCCGUCAUGGGAGAAGUUAGGCGGGGACCUCGCCUUGGCGGAAUUGGAAGGGGAUAUUUCGCCGGCUAUUCGCCCCCUGUGGGAAAUGAUACAUGCGUGCCUUGACUCCUAUGCCGAGUUGCGCCGCAAAUUGUGUGCGUGCGCCGCUCGAAAAAAGCAGAGAGAGGAAAAAGGGCCCCCGAGCGCUCUCUGGUGGGGAGGAGAUAGAGAGCCAUCCACUCCGCCCUGGAGCUCUUCUCCAGAAGCGGCUCCCCGCCGAGAGGCCGCUACAGGGAACCCUCCCUUCUCUCAGCCGGCACAGGAAGUGACGCCCCGUUCCACUCUGUCGCGACCGCCGUCCUAUGACGUUGCGCUGCGGGGCGGACGGUAUUUUCAUGGGCGGCUACUCUGCCGAGCAGGCUAAAAAAAACGCCGGUUGAGAAAACGGGGGCUGGGGAUUUAGCUUAGCGGCAUAAGCGCCUGCCUUGUAAGCAGGCAAUUGCGAGUUCGAUCCCUGGCACCGAUAAAAAAAAAAAAAAAAAAAAAAAAAAACAAAAAACAAAAAAGACCAAAAAUAAAAAAAAAUAAAAAAUAAAAAACAAAAAGGGGGAGUAAGCCAAGGCCUGCCUCCAAAGGCGCGGUUAUCUAUGGCAUGACAAUGGAUGGGCCCGGAUCCGGUGGUUAGCUGGAACCGAGGCGCGGUUUGUGUUUUUCUGCAGGAAUCGGGACGAGAACCAGAGGCCAACCGCAGACCCAACAACAAGAUGAGCCCUAAAAGAACUGCAGGACAAUCCCUUUUUGGGGAGCCUGAAAUGGCUUGCUCCCCUAUGUUUUACCAUUGUUAGGUCCCCUGUGCUCCUUGCUUCUGCUCUUACUUGUAGGACCAUUCUUGCUCCGAUGGGUUACAUCAUUUAUUAAUGGGCGCCUUGCGGCGGCCCGGCAUCAAGUACGCCUGGUUGCCCAUGCGGCCCUGGCAGCAGCCCGUGAUGGGCACAAUGACCCCCAGGCCUACACAUGGCUCGCUCGACUGGCCUACGACUGGGUCUAGGUGUGGCGGGUCUUCCGCACUCCUUCCCUAUUGACACUACACAGCAGGGUAGAUGAGUCAAUGACGGGUAAGAGCGUGCCUCCCCAACACGACUCGACCUAAGCCAGGCCCUACCCCAUGGCGCACAAAAGCCGCUGGAUUACUAGAAUCUGCCCAGAUCUAGAUGCCUCUCCGAGGGGAUCACACGGAGGGGCAUGAGUGCAUGCCUAUGUACAUCCAGGUUCCGUCCAGUUCACUCCUGGCCCUAAAAAAAGGACGAGGGUCUCAAGGCCUUGGCGGACCCGGGGGCGGCCGACCAGGGUCCAAGCCAAGGGCCUACGGUGGGCCUCAACACAGGGCAUAAGCCUCUACACUCGAUCCAGGGCGGGCUGCGAUGCAUACAUUCAUUCAAAGUAAAUAAAAUAGGGGGAGAUGUUGGGAGCCGCCGACACCGGUCGCCUUACUUGGCGGACGUAGGGCCUGUGGGUGGGAGCGGAGCCUGAGCUAGAUUGCCCCUCCCAUCGAGUGAGUCAAGUUGGCGCCUGCUUCCUGCCCCCUGAUUGCGCUGGCGACUUAAACAACCCGUUCUGUAAGAUAGUCUGCCUAGCAACAGCUGAUGUUAGCCAAUCAGCCCGCAUCGCGCGCUUUGAACUGAUUGGCCACUGUUACCCUAUAAAAGUAAAUGCCUCUCCCGCCACGAGGGAGAAGCACAGAGAAAAACCACAGAGAGAGAUAGAGAAAGUCCACCGGCGAGAAAGGGCUGGUGGCAGAGAGGAGGCCUCGCGGGGCCCACGCGGAGAUAAAUAAAGGCAAGAUUGCACACCGCCA
Molecule: long non-coding RNA, 5825 nt
Organism: Cavia porcellus (domestic guinea pig)
Lineage: Eukaryota; Metazoa; Chordata; Mammalia; Rodentia; Caviidae
Exons: 5
Source: RefSeq, a predicted model, not a curated record